RNAcentral lists this long non-coding RNA (221 nucleotides) under Lathyrus oleraceus (garden pea). Its description in RNAcentral is "Pisum sativum (pea) long non-coding RNA (PSAT_LNC009172)". The record is from RNAcentral. Lineage: Eukaryota; Viridiplantae; Streptophyta; Magnoliopsida; Fabales; Fabaceae.
UCAUAGUGAGAGUAGAGAUUAGAGAUUGUGUACCUGAAACCCUCUUGUAACUUUAUUUAUUCCUUGGGCUCAAAGAAGCGGGCGCAAUGAGUGGUCCUCGUAUUAUUUGGCCUUUGGCCAACCCAAAACAGUAACAUAAAUUGUUAAACAAGGAUGUUUGUUUGACUCUGAUUAGGUUUGUUCUAAACUUCAUCCCAAAUUAUUUUAUGCAAGUGUAUUGG